This is a long non-coding RNA of Magnolia sinica, 416 nucleotides long. RefSeq lists it as uncharacterized. Lineage: Eukaryota; Viridiplantae; Streptophyta; Magnoliopsida; Magnoliales; Magnoliaceae. The record is from RefSeq and is a predicted model, not a curated record. The transcript has 2 exons.
AUUUGGGGUAGAAAUAUUGCUUCUUCUGCCAAAGACUUGGUUACUAAUCCUUUCUUAAAAAGCUAGGCAGUUCAUAUGAACUUAGAAUCUUUGUUUUUAUGAAAGAAUUUUCAUUUUCUUUUUAGUUGAAGUCAUCAGCCUGAUCUUUUUAAUUGGUUUGAUUAUCAGAAUCUCUUCAAAUGGAGUUCAAAAUAGCAACAUAUUAAGGGGAAAGGAAGUGCAUUUUGUGCUGGUGGUGAUGUUCUACAUAUGGCCCAUUUUGUAAUCACCAGUAGAUGUCUCUUUUCUAGCCUGCGACAAAUCCUUUAAUGACAAGAUAUAGUACAUUGCAAUAGAUUUUUUUUUUUGGUGAUAUUAAGUCAAUGUACCGAACGUUUUAUGAAACUCAAUUUUGGAUCUUUGUUUGAUGAGUUUUA